UCUUCUUCCCCUUCUGUAGCAGCCACCAACCCUCCCCCUCCCCCCCUCUUCUUUUUCCUCUCCAAUAGUCCUCGCCAGCGACACCAACAGUGACCCAAUCCAGCAGUGACUGCAACGCGUGUUUUGGACGGGUUCUCGACGUCCUCCGGCCUUCGACUCCCAGAUCCGGUGCUCCUCCGACUCUCUCUCAGAUCCGACGCUCUUGCACAAACCCAGCGGCUGGUGACCCGAUUGGUUGGUCUUCAGCGGCGAAGCAGCUCUCCAACAACCCAGAUCCGGCGAAGCACGACUUCUUCGGCCAGACCCGAUUGGUAGCACAAUAUUUCCAUGGAUUGUAACACUACAAGCCUCAGAGUCUUUCAUAUGUGAUGCUCCAAAGCAAGUGUAGGUGCAUUCUUCUUCUCCCAACUUGUGCAUCACUCUCAAUUGAAGGUGAUGUACAUACAUCACACUAAAGAAGAUCAUGGAGGGAGACUAUCAGAGUUGGGGAGAGGGGAGAAAAGGAGACAGUAGAAAUCCGACAAGGAAGAAAGAAGAUCUUAUUAGGCGAGGGAACAACGGUGGGGCAAUGCGGUGAAGGACUCGAGGGUGACCAUGGUGAUGGGACRGAGGAGACCUGACAAGCGAGGACUAUAGGCUGCUUAGUUUUUCUUAUUUAGUCUAAUUCUUUUGUUASGGCCUUAUGUUGUGGCCAAUAAACGGUUUAUGUACCUUUGAAUAAUUGGGAGAUUUUUCCCUUGUUGKUAGUUAUGCUUCGGGUUAGGUGCCUAUUUGAGCUUUAUUCCAUUUGUUUAGAUUCAUUUAGAUUGAAUAAUAAACUUGCCUCGUGAAGUAGUUCACGAAUGUUGUUGCA
Non-coding RNA from Momordica charantia (bitter melon), 853 nucleotides. The record is from RefSeq and is a predicted model, not a curated record. NCBI's taxonomy places the organism in Eukaryota, Viridiplantae, Streptophyta, Magnoliopsida, Cucurbitales, Cucurbitaceae.